UUGCCAGACUCCUACGGGAGGCAGCAGUGAGGAAUAUUGGUCAAUGGACGGAAGUCUGAACCAGCCAUGCCGCGUGCAGGAAGACGGCUCUAUGAGUUGUAAACUGCUUUUGUACAAGGGUAAACCUGAAUACGUGUAUUCAGCUGAAAGUACUGUACGAAUAAGGAUCGGCUAACUCCGUGCCAGCAGCCGCGGUAAUACGGAGGGUGCGAGCGUUAAUCGGAAUUACUGGGCGUAAAGCGCUCGUAGGCGGUAUGUCAAGUCAAGGGUGAAAUCCCCGCGCUCAACGUGGGAACUGCCUUUGAAACUGGCAAACUGGAGUGUGUGAGAGGAUAGUGGAAUUCCAGGUGUAGGAGUGAAAUCCGUAGAUAUCUGGAGGAACAUCAGUGGCGAAGGCGACUAUCUGGCACAUAACUGACGCUGAGGAGCGAAAGCGUGGGUAGCAAACAGGAUUAGAUACCCCCGUAAGA
RNAcentral lists this ribosomal RNA (470 nucleotides) under uncultured bacterium. RNAcentral's name for it is "bacterial SSU rRNA". It matches the Rfam family "Bacterial small subunit ribosomal RNA", at positions 328 to 794 of the family's 1533-position model. The record is from RNAcentral.